AGGAUUGACACUCAGGCCAGUUUUGCUACAAAAUCCGUUCUUCAACAAUGACGAUUAUCUUCAGGUGUACUUGCAACUCUUCCCCUCAAAAGGUAAGCGUUUCAACCGAUCAGGUGUUCAAAAGAUGGGUUUUCACUUGAGUAAUCAAACCUACAAGCCACCACUUGGAUUUCGGGAAUAUUUUUUCAUAGCAAUGCCGUAUGAUUUCUCGGGAAAGUUGGAGUUCAGGGGAUCGGCAUUGCAAUAGGAAAGUUGGAGUUCAGGGGAUCCGGCAAAAGCGAGACGAAGCUGUCAAAAUCAGGAUGAACUCCGGUGAGCACAAAGUGACGCCACUCCGAACCAAAAUCUAUGAUGUCGCCUGUGUAUAGAUUUGUUUUGACCCAUUGCUUAUAGCUAUGUUUUCGGAAACUAUGAGUAUGAUUCAUUGCUUAUAGCUAUGAGAAUACUUACCUUUGAUAUGAUUUCCGUUAAGGAGCUUUUCACUGCCACUGAUGGAAAUGGUGCUUUCCUUAACGGAAAUCCAAUCAAAGUAUCUUUUCACUCUGAACUGGUGAAGUGUCUCCUUACCACAGAGGCUGGAACAAAGCGUGAUAAGGCCACUCUGGAUGCCACUACAAAUAGAACAAUUUGCCUUCCUUUGAGAUUUUAAAUCAGUGACAACUGACUUCAGGUCUCAUGUUUCUAUUAUGUAAUCAGGUAAGAUCAAUCAGGAUGGGCGGUUCCUAUGCAUUGGGUCUCUGUGGGGUUGCAUGUGGAAGGAAUGAUCUAUUUUAUGAGAUCGGCAUUGGUGGUCCUUGGUAUGGAACUCCUUUUUUGUUUCCGUUUAUUGAAAUGGCAAUUUUAACCAGUUCGUUUUCGAAAGGGUAGAUUCCGGUUAUGUUUUAUCUCCAACGGGUCAAUUGGGUAAAAUAAAAAAAGUGUUUCUAAAACGGAAGUCAGUCAAAUGGCUCAAGAGUCGCUCAAAAUAUAUUUUCAUUUUUCGAUGCAUAAGGUCCUAAAUCGUCUUUUAAAAGGGAUCAGAUAGUUAUUGAAGUAAUAUAUUUUUGCAAUCAUAUUUUCAUAUUUGACACCAAAUAUUUUUAUAAAAUUUUUAUGUUCUUUGACAAUGGUGGUUAUUCUGAGUUCUGGCGUUGUUGGUUAAGAACUGGUAUGUGUUUGAUUGGCAUUGAGUAUAAUCGUUGUGGAGAUCGGCUGGUGUCUGGUUCUAAUGAAUGGCAGUUGUGUUAUUGAAUGUGGCAAGUAAAUGUUUGGUCCUUUUUGUGAUUCGGGUCAAAGACACGUCAUCAAACAACAGCAACAGAGAGUUCGGGGUUUGUUUGGAUUUGAUCAAUGAUGUGGUUAGCCAUGACUCGAGUCCGGUUGCUAGAGCGGUUUUGAUCUCGAAGCUUGGUUAUGGUCGGGAAAGAUUAUGUUUCUGUUGUACGGGAGUACCAGAAGUGUAUCGAUCGAGACAAUUCGGAUGUGGUGGCGAUUAACAAGGCGUUAUUUUUGAUGUAUCUUCGGGAUUUAUCGGAUUCUAUUAAGGUGCUGGAUAGUGCGUUGGAGCGGGUUCCUAUGGCUGCUUUAAACGAGACUUUUGUGGUAAAUUUGUGUAGUAUGUAUGAGUUGGCUUAUGUUAAUCCAUCGGAUAUCAAGAAAACGCUUAGCAACUGGAUUGCUUUUGUGGCCCCGGAUGAUUUCGAUACUUCGUGUACUCGUGUUUGAAGUAGUUUUGUUAUGUUCUUUCAAGGACUAUUGAUGUUUUUGAUGUUGAAAAAUGUAUGUUCAUUUUCAGUUUGGUUUUCUUCGAAGUAGGCUGUAUAAGGCUGCUGAUAUAAUGCACUAGAUUGAAGAUAAUCACAUUGAGAUCCUUUUAACUUUU
This is a long non-coding RNA of Helianthus annuus (common sunflower), 1861 nucleotides long. RefSeq lists it as uncharacterized. The record is from RefSeq and is a predicted model, not a curated record. The transcript is spliced from 4 exons. Lineage: Eukaryota; Viridiplantae; Streptophyta; Magnoliopsida; Asterales; Asteraceae.